UAGGGAAUAUUGCGCAAUGGAGGAAACUCUGACGCAGCGACGCCGCGUGGGUGAUGAAGGUCUUCGGAUCGUAAAGCCCUGUCGAAAGGGAAGAAAAACAUUAUGGCUAACAUCCAUAGUGCUUGACGGUACCUUUAGAGGAAGCACCGGCUAACUACGUGCCAGCAGCCGCGGUAAUACGUAGGGUGCUAGCGUUGUUCGGAAUCAUUGGGCGUAAAGCGCGUGUAGGUGGUUUAUUAAGUCGGUUGUGAAAUCCCUAGGCUCAACCAAGGAAGUGCAGCCGAAACUAAUAAGCUAGAAGAUGGUAGAGAAAGGUGGAAUUCCAAGUGUAGAGGUGAAAUUCGUAGAUAUUUGGAGGAAUACCUGUGGCGAAGGCGGCCUUUUGGGCCAUUCUUGACACUGAGACGCGAAAGCGUGGGUAGCAAACAGGAUUAGAUACCCCCGUAGUCC
Molecule: ribosomal RNA, 450 nt
Filed under: uncultured bacterium
Lineage: Bacteria
Description: bacterial SSU rRNA
Rfam family: Bacterial small subunit ribosomal RNA
Source: RNAcentral